UUUUCAGUGUCGCAGCGAAAGCGAUAAACACACCGCCUGGGGAGUACGACCGCAAGGUUAAAACUCAAAUGAAUUGACGGGGACCCGCACAAGUAGUGGAGCAUGUGGUUUAAUUCGAAGAUACGCGCAGAACCUUACCAACGCUUGACAUGUUCGUCGCGACUUUAAGAGAUUAAAGUUUUCGGUUCGGCCGGACGAAACACAGGUGCUGCAUGGCUGUCGUCAGCUCGUGUCGUGAGAUGUUGGGUUAAGUCCCGCAACGAGCGCAACCCUCACUUUUAGUUGCCAUCAUUAAGUUGGGCACUCUGAAAGAACUGCCAGUGAUAAGCUGGAGGAAGGUGGGGAUGACGUCAAGUCCUCAUGGCCCUUACGUGUUGGGCUACACACGUGCUACAAUGGUAUCUACAACAGGAAGCAAGACGGCGACGUUUAGCAAAUCCUUAAAAGAUACCUCAGUUCGGAUUGCACUCUGCAACUCGAGUGCAUGAAGCUGGAAUUACUAGUAAUCGUGGAUCAGCGUGCCACGGUGAAUGCGUUCCCGGGUCUUGUACACACCGCCCGUCACACCAUGGGAGUUGGUUCUACCUUAAGGCAAGGUUUCAAACCCUUGACCACGGUAUAGUCAGCGACUGGGGUGAAGUCGUAACAAGGUAGCCGUAGGGGAACCUGCGGCUGGAUUACCUCCUU
This 687-nucleotide ribosomal RNA is filed under the name uncultured marine alpha proteobacterium. RNAcentral describes it as "bacterial SSU rRNA". It matches the Rfam family "Bacterial small subunit ribosomal RNA", at positions 837 to 1532 of the family's 1533-position model. Lineage: Bacteria; Pseudomonadati; Pseudomonadota; Alphaproteobacteria. The record is from RNAcentral.